RNAcentral lists this ribosomal RNA (460 nucleotides) under uncultured bacterium. RNAcentral's name for it is "partial 16S ribosomal RNA". It matches the Rfam family "Bacterial small subunit ribosomal RNA", at positions 338 to 795 of the family's 1533-position model. The record is from RNAcentral.
CCUACGGGAGGCAGCAGUGAGGAAUAUUGGUCAAUGGACGAGAGUCUGAACCAGCCACGUAGCGUGAAUGAUGACUGCCCUCUGGGUUGUAAACUUCUUUUAUAUGGGAAUAAAAUGUUCCACGUGUGGGAUUUUGUAUGUACCAUAUGAAUAAGAAUCGGCUAACUCCGUGCCAGCACCCGCGGUAAUACGGAGGAUCCGAUCGUUAUCCGUAUCUAUUGGGUUUAAAGGGAACGUAUGUGGAUUGUUAAAGCAGUUGGGAAAGUUUGCGGCUCAACCGUAAAAUUGCAGUUGAAACUGGCAGUCUUGAGUACAGUAGAGGUGGGUGGAAGUCGUGGUGUAGCGGUGAAAUGCUUAGAUAUCACGAAGAACUCCGAUUGCGAAGGCAGCUCACUGGACUGCAACUGACACUGAGGCUCGAAAGUGUGGGUAUCAAACAGGAUUAGAUACCCGGGUAGUC